GAAGAAAGCUUGAAGAUAGAUUCUGGAAGGACAAGAUAUAAACAAGUACUAAAGAAGGAAUAUUUUCUGUUAAGGGGUGGGGUGGGAGCGAAGAAGA
Long non-coding RNA from Ipomoea nil (Japanese morning glory), 97 nucleotides. RefSeq lists it as uncharacterized. The transcript has 3 exons. The record is from RefSeq and is a predicted model, not a curated record. Lineage: Eukaryota; Viridiplantae; Streptophyta; Magnoliopsida; Solanales; Convolvulaceae.